Oxyura jamaicensis (ruddy duck) is the source of this 1156-nucleotide long non-coding RNA. RefSeq lists it as uncharacterized. The transcript is spliced from 2 exons. The record is from RefSeq and is a predicted model, not a curated record. NCBI's taxonomy places the organism in Eukaryota, Metazoa, Chordata, Aves, Anseriformes, Anatidae.
GUGGGUUGCUGACACACCUUCCCCCGCUGCUGUGGGGGCUGUUGUCGCACUCUCCAGCAAAAACCUGGCAGGUGAGGCUGGGAAUCUGGUUGUGAGCAUGGCAGCUGAUGUCUUUAGCAGUCUUGCUGUCUGGCUGGUGUGGGUAAAGGACAGGGGUCACACAGCCCCAAUGGAGCUCGGCCGUGCUUGUGGUGGGACUCCUAGCCAAGCUGCAGGCUCAGCCCCCCGGGUCUGUAAGAUACAAUUAAGAGAGAAGCAGCCUCUACCAAAAGAAAGGGGCAAUGGAUGCUGAAAAGCAGCUGCAAAGCUUCCUGAGGUGGGGGCAGCAGUGUAUAGCAGUCCCCCUAACGUGUCUCCACAGCACGCUCUUGCCUGGCCUGUGUCCCUUCAUCGUGUGCUGGGGAAGGACGUGGUGUCCCCACAGUGUCAUGCCUGGGGCUGCACUCACUCACUCAGGGUGAGAAUUAGUCUCCCCUAACCUGGUACUGCUGCAGUAGCCAGGAGAGCCUGGUGAGGCUAUUCUGCAGAACCUGGACAGCUAAUUGGGGCAGAUGGGCUGGGGCAGGGGCUUGGUGGGAGCCAGGGAAGGAGAGGGAUGUGAUGGUAGCCAGGACAGAUCAAUUGGCCCAUGCUGCUGGGUCUGACUUGCCCCAUGAAAAAACAAGUCUCAGAGGCAUCCCACAAAGCCUGGAGCAGGGUCACUCUUAGCCGUGCUCUCUCUGAUGGUUUUCACUCCUUCCAGAGCAUUGUUCUUGCUCUGCAUGGUUAAAAGCUUAAGACUUUAGAAACCCGGUGCUCCAUCACUCUCCAGCCCAAUGCAAGCCAAGACGAGCUUUGAUUUUUAACCAAGAGAACAAGAAAAGAAAUUCCUCCCCAAGUCUGCUGGGGCAGACUUAUUCCCUCUUGGUGUGUGAUGGGGGCUUGCAUCAGCCCUUCACCCCCCUCACUGUCUGCAGACACCCCCCGAGGCGUGACAGCUUUGUCAUAAUAAAGAGCUGUCACCAGCUGAAUUAUUCCAGCUACAGCACAUCAGCCACGGGUAAGAUGGACCAGAGCCCUACAGGUCUGGAGAGGCUCCUCAGGGCUUCAGUGGCCAAGACAGAUCUCAAAGUAAAUUACUGAUCUCCCCUUCCUGUAAAUAAAGACAACCCCUGUA